GGUUAAGCACAUGGUGGAACAGCACAUCACUGUACCUAACGUACUGUACACCUGUGAGCGGCAUGACGAGACAAAAGACGGUAAAACUCAUUAUUAAUCGGUGAUGCUGUACAUUCUGGAUGAUGCACAGCCACAUUUUAUAAUACUGUUUUUUAUUUUCGUGUCGCGCUGCUCGCGUUCAAUAUAAAGUUAGACAAGACGCAAUUAAUUACUGGGAGAGUAGUGGUCUAAUGGUAAGAGUCGAACUUCACGAACCUUUCACUGCUUGCAGUAAGGCUAAAGUGCUACGUGAAUAAGAUGGGUGUAGUUUUGUGCUACUAGCUGUAAAGUGUUUUUGCACUAUUGAGUUAUAAAUACUGCCCAGUAAUACUUAACUAGAUGUAAAUCACAAUUCUUGUGUCAAUGUUUGUUUGUAAUCUUUUUCAGCUAUCCAUCUGAAAAAGAAAAGCUGGCACUCUCAAGGAGAUUGUGUUGUUGGAUUAUGGUCUCAUUUGGUCAAAAAGAGGGACAUUUACCUGGAUUUAUAAAAAUGAGAUUACAGAACAUCAGACGGUAGCUUCAACAGAGUUGAAGUCGGAGGACAUCAUCAAUAAAGAAUGCCAUUGACCAAACCUUCAGUCAUCAAAGAAGAUGGAUACAGGUAAUGACAAAAUCACCAAUUAUUGGGGGACAUCAAGUUUUCCAGACUUACCGAUGGGAAAGAAGAAAUGGGAAUGUGACAAUUAUUGAGAAACUCAGGGAAAAAGCAUCUUUAGAGAAGAAAAUGGACAUCAGACAUUUUUUAAAGAAAGCUGACAGUCAACAUAAUGGCUGGUACCGGUGUGACGUCUUUGCUUACUAAAUGAUCAAAGGGUGUCUGAAAUCAGCUCAGCCACAGUUGGUUUCCAACGGUUCUUCAGGACAUGGAGGCCACUACGUAACUGUUGCAAUAAACGAUUCUUUUGCCUUUCCACCUGAUGUUGACAAUCUGACCUGUGCGGUACUGAAAACAACUUGCACUGACAUAUCUUAAAAUAUAUCAGUGCCCUAUGUUUAGCCUCAAAAUGCACACCAGUAAUGUUUUUGUUGAAACCAGUUAUAUUUCCUAAUUAAACUAAGGCCUAGUCCUGGAUUAAGCUAAUCCCCUGUCCGGGAAACCGCCCCUAAAUGUUUUGUGACGGAAAUUUCUUUGAAUACACUUGUCAAGUUCAUUUUAAGUAUUUUUCUAAAUGUAAGAUAACAUGUUAAUGUUUCAGGACAAGUUAAAAUUUUUUGAUAACUUGCAUGUUGGAAACGAUUUCAGACAUUGUUCUAUUCAACAUGUUUAACACAGUUGCUUUUAAAUUCAAUGAAUUAUUUUAUAAAUAGUGUUUUAAAACUUAUCAAUGUAAUGUAUGUUUGAAGUAAUUAUACUUGCACUUACAUUUAUUUAAAUUAGCAUACAUCUAGCAACAUACAGUACUAGCAUAUUUUCAUGCAAGCAUUAAUUGUCAAAUAUUUGUUAUUUUACAAAUAAAUAGUUUGUGAACAAUAUUCAAUAGUUGUCUGCUUGAUUUCAUAAUUUAAAGUUUACAAAUCAUAUGUUUUUUUUUCUUUUUAAUAUUAAAACUAAACAAUUACUCGGUAACACACAGUUGUGUUAGAUUAAUAGAAAGUUACACAUAAAUGUGUUUACUGAAGCAACACAUUUUUGUGUUGCAUUUUAUAACACAUAUUCUGUGUUAAAUUUAACUCAACAUGUGUUGUCCCUGCGCACACUCAGAACAUGUGUAAAAAAUAACACAUGUUGUGUUGUUUUUAACACAUUUGUUUUAAGAGUGUAUGAUAGGGUUGCCACCUUUGAUUUGUGAAAAACCGGGACACUCAGAUGAAAUUUAUUUUUGUUUUGUUUUUUGGAGGGGGGAUCAACUAAUAUUUGCAAAUAUACUAUGUUAAAAGUUGUAGGACUCUAUUCCCUCUCUAACCUAUAUUUGUCCUGACGUAGAUGCUUUCCCUGAAGUAGAUGCACUCUCUGAUGUAGAUGCACUCACUCUGGACUCCUUUCUACAUUAAAGGCGAAGUCCAUGAUGUUUGAAAGCCAAUGUUGAUAUUUGAUAUUUGAAAUCACCUAAACAAACACGCCCCUACCCCAAUAGAAUCUGGACCUUCUGUUGAUAGACCCGCUGUCAGUACCCGAUCCGUGCCGCCUGUCCAAUCUGUUUUGCGCAUGCGCAUAAUUGUGCGCAUGCGCAGAAGCUCAACUUGUUUUACGACAGUUUACGACCCUACCUGAUCUGUUCUACGCAUGCGCGACAACCGGAGUUUAAAAAUAGUGAAGAAAUGCGUCAUAUAAGAACACCGGCGAACAUAUGGAGGCUAAGUCAUUCGUAUAAAGGACCAACAUGGACCAGUAGUUAUUUCAUGCUGCCCUUCGGCAGUACCUACUAAGUGGGAUGUCGAUGUCGCGGUUGACUGGAAGAGAGUCAUGCGGGUGGCCAACCACUUCGUUGUAGAUGGUUUGUCCAUGCUGAUGGCUAUGCAGCAUAGUUGAAGCAGACCUGUCAGAAAACUUCUCUAAGGUGCUAUGAAUCAUAUGACUAGAUACACAUCCUAAAAUUACUAGAGGUUACGGAAGCUCCUUUUUGGAUCCAGCUUCAUUUGUGAAGACUUCAGAUGAUGCCAACACUCACAGAGGCUUAAGACGAUGGCAACAAUAGAUAGACAUACAAAAUUGCCAAAUAUAAUUUUGUAAUUACUGCCCCAAAGCGCAAGUUUGCCGAUUUUUAACCCACUUUAUAUUGUUACAAAUACAAUAGAUGCUAACAUUUGAACAGAAAAUGUUUCCUCUUUAUUCUUGAGUUAAUUGUGCUGAUUUAUUCCCAUUUUUUUAUCCACAAUUCUUUGCCAAAAUGAUGUUUUGCAUCAUCUAAAUGGUUCAUUUUCAAAUUACAGACAUUGUAACAACACAAAGUAGGUUGAAAUUCUGCCAACUUACCCUAUAAUAAUAAUUGUCUUUUAACUGAACAGGACUUUAAACACAUGACUUGUAUUAACUUAGAGCUAUUGUGAAAUUAAUAUUGUUUUGUUUCCAGAACAUUCUCCUCAGUGAGUCACUGUUACCUCAGACUGAUUAAGGGAUUUUUUGUAACCUUGAAACAUGCAUUGGUUUUAUUAUGGUAAAACUGCAUAUCUUAUUUCAAACCAAGGUUUUGUAACCAUGGUUCUACUACAGUAACAUUAUAGUAAUGCUGGAGUGAAACUGUGGUAACCAUAUUAUUUUAAAUCAUGGUAAAGUUUGUGGUUACUAAAAUGCACUUCUAUAUGCUGUUGUAAGAGCAUGAUUAUUUUUUAUUUAUUAAUAAACCAUGGUUGAUUUUA
Molecule: long non-coding RNA, 3336 nt
Organism: Misgurnus anguillicaudatus (oriental weatherfish)
Lineage: Eukaryota; Metazoa; Chordata; Actinopteri; Cypriniformes; Cobitidae
Source: RefSeq, a predicted model, not a curated record